RNAcentral lists this ribosomal RNA (443 nucleotides) under uncultured bacterium. RNAcentral's name for it is "partial 16S ribosomal RNA". It matches the Rfam family "Bacterial small subunit ribosomal RNA", at positions 338 to 795 of the family's 1533-position model. The record is from RNAcentral.
CCUACGGGUGGCAGCAGUGGGGAAUAUUGGGCAAUGGGCGCAAGCCUGACCCAGCAACGCCGCGUGAAGGAAGAAUGCUUUCGGGUUGUAAACUUCUUUUCUUAGGGACGAAGAAAGUGACGGUACCUCAGGAAUAAGCCACGGCUAACUACGUGCCAGCAGCCGCGGUAAUACGUAGGUGGCAAGCGUUAUCCGGAUUUAUUGGGUGUAAAGGGCGUGUAGGCGGGAAAGUAAGUCAGAUGUGAAAACUCAGGGCUCAACCCUGAGCCUGCAUUUGACACUGUUUUCCUUGAGUGCUGGAGAGGCAAUCGGAAUUCGGGGUGUAGCGGUGAAAUGCGUAGAUAUACGGAGGAACACCAGUGGCGAAGGCGGAUUGCUGGACAGUAACUGACGCUGAGGCGCGAAAGCGUGGGGAGCAAACAGGAUUAGAUACCCGUGUAGUC